GCCACAUAGUCUACAACCAAGGUACUUCAGAACAUUUUCUCCACCAGUCACAGCAGGAGAAGAGCUCUUGAAUCUUUGCUAGUUAAACUGUAAGAGGAAAAAAGGGAAAUGGUGUAGGGGCAACCUGAGUGACAUCCUGCUAUGCACCCAGAAUGAGAUUUAGCCUGGCUGACAACCAGAAACAAAUAUAGGAAGAUGGUCUAAGAAGAAAGGUCAGGAAUACAGAACAAAGAAAGAAAAGAGAGAGAAUACAACUGCCUCGAAUGACCACAUAAAAUGGCACAGAAGAAAGCAGACUGUGAAAUCGAAGGUAAAUGCACUUGAAUGCUGUUGACUGUGGGAUGGGGAACCUGGUCAGGAGAUGGAAUCAUGAUAGACCACUGGAAAUCCACCUCCCUACCCCCCAGGCCUUGCCUGUUGCUGCACAGGAAAUCCUGGUGGGCAAAAUGGAGAAAGAUUACGCCCCCUCCCGAGUCUCAUCCCAUCAGGUCUCUGUGACACAGACCAGGCUUGUAUCCCAUACUAGUGAAAGACUAUGAUGAGAGAGAGAACUUUGAAACUGGAAGUUUGUUGGAAUUGAAGAUCUGCUCCUUCUCUAAACACCAACCAAGAGACUGCCCUGAAUUGAGACACAAUGAAAUAACACAUUCAGCAGGUGAACAGAAAAAAGAACUCAAAUAUCUUAUGAAGUUUCAGAUCUAUGGCAUUUUUGUCACACGUCUAUUUUGACAGAAAGGGAAAAGCAUUCUGGGGGAUUCUCCAUAUCUAAAGCUUAAAUCAGUUGAUCAAUGUAGCAUAUUCUGAAGUCAGCAAAAUGUAUUGGGUCAGUUUUGCACUGACAAUCUCAUAUCCAGUAUCUUUAGGGCCUACUCCCAAGCAAGCAUAAAUAAGGACUACAGCCUUAACUGCAGAAUAAAUCCUAUGCCAUUAUGCUCAGUGAAGCCUAUUCCCUGCUUAAACGCAUGGAACUGCAGUUUAAGAGAUUACUGUGCUACAAUACACAGCUGAAAAGCAAAUGGCAUAAUAGCCACAUGAAGGCUCUGUUGGAGUCUUUGGUCAACCCCACAUUCCAUUUAGCCUUUUGUCAAUCCCCUCCAGAAUAAAGGUCUUACGGCAAAUCAUUUG
Non-coding RNA from Anolis sagrei ordinatus, 1125 nucleotides. The record is from RefSeq and is a predicted model, not a curated record. NCBI's taxonomy places the organism in Eukaryota, Metazoa, Chordata, Lepidosauria, Squamata, Anolidae.